This 543-nucleotide ribosomal RNA is filed under the name Astrohydra japonica. RNAcentral describes it as "partial 16S ribosomal RNA". It matches the Rfam family "Bacterial large subunit ribosomal RNA", at positions 1832 to 2534 of the family's 2925-position model. The record is from RNAcentral. Lineage: Eukaryota; Metazoa; Cnidaria; Hydrozoa; Limnomedusae; Olindiidae.
CUUUGGUUCAUCUCAAAGGUGCAGCCUGCCCAAUGGUCUGUCCAUUCUUUCUUAUUACAGAGAAAAUAAACCAGACUCAAUGGCCGCGGUAACUCUGACCGUGAUAAUGUAGCGAAAUCAAUCGUCGUUUAAUUGACGACCCGUAUGAACGGUUUCACGCAUCUCCCCCUGUCUCGAAAAUAAAUUCAAAGAAAUUGUAUUUAUAGUGAAGAUCCUAUAAAAAGAUUGUUAGACGAAAAGACCCUAUAGAGCUUAACUACAUCCUAGUCAAGAAAAACGACAUUAUAGAUGUCCUUUUGGCAUGGGGGCUAGUUUGGUUGGGGCGACCGUCUUCUAAUAAAAACGAAGAUACACAAAGGCAAUGUAUUUAUAUGAGCUUAAUUGUUUAAGUCAUUACUUUAACAAAUACUAACGUAGGUAAAAAUGACCCGCUGAUAUCUAAACAUCGAAUCAACGAUCAAUAAAUAAAAGCUACCUUAGGGAUAACAGCGUAAUCUUGUUUAAGAGUUCUUAUCGACAACAAGGUUUGCGACCUCGAUGUGA